RNAcentral lists this ribosomal RNA (253 nucleotides) under uncultured bacterium. RNAcentral's name for it is "partial 16S ribosomal RNA". It matches the Rfam family "Bacterial small subunit ribosomal RNA", at positions 524 to 776 of the family's 1533-position model. The record is from RNAcentral.
AACGGGGGAUGCAAGCGUUAUCCGGAAUCACUGGGCGUAAAGCGUCUGUAGGUGGCGAUGCCAGUCACUGGUGCAAAACUCUGGCUCAACCGGAGGAAAGCCAGUGAAACUGCAUGACUAGAGUGUGGGAGAGGUAGAAGGAAUUCCCUGAGUAGCGGUGAAAUGCGUAGAUACAGGGAAGAACACCGGAGGCGAAAGCGUUCUUCUGGAACACAACUGACACUGAGAGACGAAAGCUAGGGGAGCGAAUGGG